Long non-coding RNA from Cynoglossus semilaevis (tongue sole), 301 nucleotides. RefSeq lists it as uncharacterized. The transcript is spliced from 3 exons. The record is from RefSeq and is a predicted model, not a curated record. NCBI's taxonomy places the organism in Eukaryota, Metazoa, Chordata, Actinopteri, Pleuronectiformes, Cynoglossidae.
CUGGUCGUGGAUUCUACCACGUUCUCCUACAGGGAAGCUAAGAGGUGAACCACAGAGGGAUGUUGGCACAAUUUCUACGCCUGAUGUCCUUUCUGAUGCAACCUUUCCAUUCAUUAAGACAGGCAUCAUCACCGAGGCGUGCAGUCGGAUUUGAACACCUGCCAUCUGGAGGCUGAGACAGGUGGAGCAGGCGUGUUCUUUUACCUGUAUGCCUAUUGAAGAACGUGGGGUUUUGAGGUACUCCUCAGCCUUAGACACCAGCACUGCUUUGUCGCAUGUCUGGACGGAUGUGUGGCUGCCC